This 77-nucleotide transfer RNA is filed under the name Eubacteriales bacterium. RNAcentral describes it as "tRNA-Arg". It matches the Rfam family "tRNA". Rfam says of the family: Transfer RNA (tRNA) molecules are approximately 80 nucleotides in length. Lineage: Bacteria; Bacillati; Bacillota; Clostridia; Eubacteriales. The record is from RNAcentral.
GCCUCCGUACCUCACCUGGAUAGAGGGUCCGCCUCCUAAGCGGAACGCAGUGAGUUCGAGUCUCGCCGGGGGCGCCA